GAUGAAGAACGUAGCGAAAUGCGAUACUUGGUGUGAAUUGCAGAAUCCCGUGAACCAUCGAGUCUUUGAACGCAAGUUGCGCCCGAAGCCAUUAGGCCGAGGGCACGCCUGCCUGGGCGUCACACGUCGUUGCCCCCCCAUCUACUCCUUCGGGAUUGCGGGGGGCGGAUGAUGGCCUCUCGUGCGCCUCGUCGCGCGGUUGGCCUAAAUGCCGAGUCCUCGGCGACGCACGCCACGACAAUCGGUGGUUGCGAAACCUCGGUUGCCUGUCGUGUGCGGUCGUCGCGCAUCGAGGGCUCGAAAAAAUUGCCGGGCUUCGGCUCGACUUUCAACGCGACCCCAGGUCAGGCGGGGUUACCCGCUGAAUUUAAGCAUAUCAAUAAGCGGAGGA
RNAcentral lists this unclassified non-coding RNA (391 nucleotides) under soil metagenome. RNAcentral describes it as "partial contains 5.8S ribosomal RNA, internal transcribed spacer 2, and large subunit ribosomal RNA". The stretch from base 1 to 122 matches the Rfam family "5.8S ribosomal RNA", at positions 35 to 154 of the family's 154-position model. The record is from RNAcentral.